GACGAACGCUGGCGGCGUGCUUAACACAUGCAAGUCGAACGAUGAAGCCGGAGCUUGCUCUGGUGAAUUAGUGGCGAACGGGUGAGUAACACGUGAGUAACCUGCCCUUGACUCAGGGAUAACUGCUAGAAAUGGUAGCUAAUACCGGAUACGACCCUCGGAGGCAUCUCCAGGGGGUGGAAAGAAUUUCGGUCAAGGAUGGACUCGCGGCCUAUCAGCUAGUUGGUGAGGUAACGGCUCACCAAGGCGACGACGGGUAGCCGGCAUGAGAGGGGGACCGGCCACAGUGGGGCUGGGACACGUCCCAGACUCCUACGAGUGGCAGCAGUGGGGAAUAUUGCACAAUGGGCGCAAACCUGAUGCAGCAACGCCGCGUGAGGGAUGACGGCCUGCGGGUUGUAAACCUCUUUUAGUAGGGAAGAAGCGAAAGUGACGGUACCUGCAGAAAAAGCACCGGCUAACUACGUGCCAGCCGCCGCGGUAA
RNAcentral lists this ribosomal RNA (484 nucleotides) under uncultured bacterium. RNAcentral's name for it is "partial 16S ribosomal RNA". It matches the Rfam family "Bacterial small subunit ribosomal RNA", at positions 28 to 523 of the family's 1533-position model. The record is from RNAcentral.